This 496-nucleotide ribosomal RNA is filed under the name uncultured bacterium. RNAcentral describes it as "partial 16S ribosomal RNA". It matches the Rfam family "Bacterial small subunit ribosomal RNA", at positions 28 to 506 of the family's 1533-position model. The record is from RNAcentral.
GAUGAACGCUGGCGGCGUGCCUAAUACAUGCAAGUCGAGCGAACGGACGAGAAGCUUGCUUCUCUGAUGUUAGCGGCGGACGGGUGAGUAACACGUGGAUAACCUACCUAUAAGACUGGGAUAACUUCGGGAAACCGGAGCUAAUACCGGAUGAUAUUUUGAACCGCAUGGUUCAAUAGUGAAAGACGGUUUUGCUGUCACUUAUAGAUGGAUCCGCGCUGCAUUAGCUAGUUGGUAAGGUAACGGCUUACCAAGGCAACGAUGCCUAGCCGACCUGAGAGGGGAAACGGCCACAGCGAAGCGGGGACACGGUCCGACCACCGAGGGGAGGCAGAGGUAGGAAAUCUGCCGCAAGGGGCGAAAGCCUGACGUAGCAACGCCGCGUGAGGGAUAAGGGUCUUCGGUUCGUAAAACCCUGUAAUUAGGGACAAACAGAUGUGUAAGUAACAGUGCACAUCUGGACGGUACCUAGUCAAAGGGCCACGACUAACUACGU